CUGAUUGUUCUAGACACUGCAAUCCUCUAUUAAUCCAUAGAACAGGCACAGUCUAGCCAGUAGGGGUGUAAAUCCUACCAUUUUGCUUCAAUCUGGACUUGGAGGUACUAGGGGUGAGAGGGUACUUCAGUCUCCAUGUCCAUUCACUCCUUGGUCUCA
This 159-nucleotide small RNA is filed under the name Chrysemys picta bellii (western painted turtle). RNAcentral describes it as "TUC338 (ENSCPBG00000004187.1)". The record is from RNAcentral. Lineage: Eukaryota; Metazoa; Chordata; Testudines; Emydidae.